RNAcentral lists this ribosomal RNA (2049 nucleotides) under Clostridioides difficile. RNAcentral's name for it is "bacterial LSU rRNA". It matches the Rfam family "Bacterial large subunit ribosomal RNA", at positions 679 to 2745 of the family's 2925-position model. The record is from RNAcentral. Lineage: Bacteria; Bacillati; Bacillota; Clostridia; Peptostreptococcales; Peptostreptococcaceae.
GAGUUUUAACUGAGCGUUCAGUUACUUGACGUAGACCCGAAACCGGGCGACCUACCCAUGAGCAGGAUGAAGCGAAAGUAAAAUUUCGUGGAGGUCCGAACCCACGAGCGUUGAAAAGCUCGGGGAUGACUUGUGGGUAGCGGUGAAAUUCCAAUCGAGCCCGGAGAUAGCUGGUUCUCCCCGAAAUAGCUUUAGGGCUAGCCUCAAGGUGAGAGAUACGGAGGUAGAGCACUGAAUGUCCUAGGGGGUAUUGCACCUACCGAAGACUAUCAAACUCCGAAUGCCGUCAUCUUAUACUUGGGAGUCAGACUGUGGGUGAUAAGAUUCAUAGUCGAAAGGGCAACAGCCCAGAUCGUCAGCUAAGGUCCCUAAAUGUAAGUUAAGUGGUAAAGGAUGUGGGAUUGCACAGACAACCAGGAUGUUGGCUUAGAAGCAGCCACUCAUUCAAAGAGUGCGUAAUAGCUCACUGGUCGAGUGAUCCUGCGCCGAAGAUUUCCGGGGCUAAAACUUACUACCGAAGCUACGGCAUCAGUAAUGAUGGGUAGGGGAGCUUCCCAUACGGGUUGAAGCAUGACCGUAAGGACAUGUGGACAGUAUGGGAGUGAGAAUGUUGGCAUGAGUAGCGAGAUGUGGGUGAGAAUCCCACAGGCCGUAAACCCAAGGUUUCCAGGGGAAGGUUCGUCCGCCCUGGGUUAGUCGGGACCUAAGCUGAGGCCGAAAGGCGUAGGUGAUGGACAACAGGUUGAUAUUCCUGUACUACCGAUAACCGUUUGAGAGAAGGGAUGACACAGUAGGAUAAGCUAAGCACACUGUUGGUUAUGUGUGCCCAAGCAUUGAGGCAGUCAAAGUAGGCAAAUCCGCUUUGAUAAUGCUGGGAUGUGAUGGGGAGCGAAAUUUAGUAGCGAAGUAGCUGAUUUCACACUGUCAAGAAAAGUCUCUAUCGAGGUUAAAGGUACCCGUACCGCAAACCGACACAGGUGGGUGAGGAGAGUAUCCUAAGGCCAGCGAGAGAACUGUUGUUAAGGAACUCGGCAAAAUGACCCCGUAACUUAGGGAUAAGGGGUGCCACCAUCAGGUGGCCGCAGAGAAUAGGCCCAAGCGACUGUUUACCAAAAACAUAGGUUUCUGCUAAGUCGCAAGACGAUGUAUAGGAGCUGACGCCUGCCCGGUGCUGGAAGGUUAAGGGGAUCUGUUAGAGCAAUCGAAGCAGUGAACUUAAGCCCCAGUAAACGGCGGCCGUAACUAUAACGGUCCUAAGGUAGCGAAAUUCCUUGUCGGGUAAGUUCCGACCCGCACGAAAGGCGUAACGAUUUGGGCACUGUCUCAACAACAGACUCGGUGAAAUUGUAAUUCCGGUGAAGAUGCCGGAUACCUGCGACAGGACGGAAAGACCCCAUGGAGCUUUACUGUAGCUUGACAUUGGGUCUUGGUACUACAUGUACAGGAUAGGUGGGAGGCUUUGAAACCAGGACGCCAGUUUUGGCGGAGCCAUCCUUGGGAUACCACCCUUGUAGUACUGGGACUCUAACCAUAGGCCAUGAAUCUGGUCUUGGGACACUGUCAGGUGGGCAGUUUGACUGGGGCGGUCGCCUCCCAAAAGGUAACGGAGGCGCUCAAAGGUUCUCUCAGUACGGUCGGAAAUCGUACGUAGAGUGUAAAGGCAAAAGAGAGCUUGAUUGCAAGACAUACAGGUCGAGCAAGGAUGAAAAUCGGACUUAGUGAUCCGGUGGUUCUGCGUGGAAGGGCCAUCGCUCAACGGAUAAAAGCUACCCUGGGGAUAACAGGCUUAUCUCCCCCAAGAGUCCACAUCGACGGGGAGGUUUGGCACCUCGAUGUCGGCUCAUCACAUCCUGGGGCUGUAGUAGGUCCCAAGGGUUGGGCUGUUCGCCCAUUAAAGUGGUACGCGAGCUGGGUUCAGAACGUCGUGAGACAGUUCGGUCCCUAUCCGUCGCAGGCGUAGGAAAUUUGAGAAGACCUGUCCUUAGUACGAGAGGACCGGGAUGGACGUACCUCUGGUGUACCAGUUGUCCUGCCAAGGGCAUGGCUGGG